RNAcentral lists this transfer RNA (65 nucleotides) under Aedes aegypti (yellow fever mosquito). It matches the Rfam family "tRNA". Rfam says of the family: Transfer RNA (tRNA) molecules are approximately 80 nucleotides in length. Their secondary structure includes four short double-helical elements and three loops (D, anti-codon, and T loops). The record is from Rfam by way of RNAcentral. Lineage: Eukaryota; Metazoa; Arthropoda; Insecta; Diptera; Culicidae.
AGCUCGGUAGCUUAGUUGGUAAAGCGCUCGUCUAGCAAACGAGUCCUGGGUUCGAAUUCGAGCUC